RNAcentral lists this ribosomal RNA (25 nucleotides) under Peronospora sp. 1217402. RNAcentral describes it as "partial 28S ribosomal RNA". The record is from RNAcentral. Lineage: Eukaryota; Oomycota; Peronosporomycetes; Peronosporales; Peronosporaceae.
UGCAUCUCAACUCGACCUGAUAUCA